This 28-nucleotide small RNA is filed under the name Bombyx mori (domestic silkworm). RNAcentral describes it as "ovarian small RNA-5697". The record is from RNAcentral. Lineage: Eukaryota; Metazoa; Arthropoda; Insecta; Lepidoptera; Bombycidae.
UAACGUUUGUAGGUGAGCUCACAGGUCU